ACGUACACUCCUACGGGAGGCAGCAGUAGGGAAUCUUCCACAAUGGGUGCAAACCUGAUGGAGCAAUGCCGCGUGAGUGAAGAAGGUCUUCGGAUCGUAAAGCUCUGUUGUUAGAGAAGAACACGUGCUAGGUAACUACUAGCGCCUUGACGGUAUCUAACCAGAAAGUCACGGCUAACUACGUGCCAGCAGCCGCGGUAAUACGUAGGUGACAAGCGUUGUCCGGAUUUAUUGGGCGUAAAGGGAGCGCAGGCGGUCUGUUUAGUCUAAUGUGAAAGCCCACGGCUUAACCGUGGAACGGCAUUGGAAACUGACAGACUUGAAUGUAGAAGAGGAAAAUGGAAUUCCAAGUGUAGCGGUGGAAUGCGUAGAUAUUUGGAGGAACACCAGUGGCGAAGGCGAUUUUCUGGUCUAACAUUGACGCUGAGGCUCGAAAGCGUGGGGAGCGAACAGGAUUAGAAACCCUAGUAGUCC
RNAcentral lists this ribosomal RNA (474 nucleotides) under uncultured organism. RNAcentral describes it as "partial 16S ribosomal RNA". It matches the Rfam family "Bacterial small subunit ribosomal RNA", at positions 329 to 796 of the family's 1533-position model. The record is from RNAcentral.